UGUACCAAAUUGAUCCAUACGCAAAAACCCGGACCCCUGAAACCCCAAUCCAUAUCAAAAAUCAAGAAAACAAGAUUUGUGGUCUUCAGGCAGGCCGCGUAAAGAUAAGCCAAGGAUAACACGGGCCGCGACAGAAAGGCAAAUCUCCGGAUAAGCUUAAGGGACACGCGGCUUCCACUUGGUAAACCUACUGGUGACUCAGCAACCCUACGCGUAAGAGUCGAGCCAAGGCUCACGCGGGCCGCGUGAAACCCAAAUUCCAGCUAUAAAUAGAGCAGGCUACGAGCAGUCCUCUGGUGUCGAAAGUUUCUUUCAGAAAGGAAGUUAUACUGCCCAAAUUCGAAUAUUACUCUCAAAUUAGCGAGGCACUGCUACGAUAUAGGGUAUUAACUCGAUCGCUGCUACGAUUCGAUGUCCGAUCGAUUGAAACUAUCCAACAGAUGUUUAAGUAAUUACAGUAGAUUGGAGUAAGGAUUGGAUCCGGCGCUGAAAGGACUUCAAGAAGUGGCUUAUUUUAUUAAUUAAAUCAAAUUA
Molecule: long non-coding RNA, 534 nt
Filed under: Helianthus annuus (common sunflower)
Lineage: Eukaryota; Viridiplantae; Streptophyta; Magnoliopsida; Asterales; Asteraceae
Description: sRNA HanXRQr2_Chr01g0016291
Source: RNAcentral